GUGACCGGCUGCGUCGCGCUAGCAGUUCGCGCUAACCGGACCGGGACCGGCGGAACCGACAGCAGACCGGAGACAGCAGGACUCCACCGGACGAGCGGGCAGACCGCGCGCUUUCUCCGAAUCUGCAGCUUGUACGCGGAUUGUCGCUGUGAGGACCCGGAAGAGCAGCGCGACUGGACGGCGUGACGUGUGCUCGAGGAGCUUUUGUUUAUGGGCGUGGCCUGUAGGCGUCUUCCAACUCGCGAUUGGUGAACAGGACUCUAGCCAUCCUGCUGUGGCGCUGUGGUCACCAAGUGGGCGGAGUCAGGCUCAGACUCGGGCUGUGAUUGGCUGAGAGUGAUGAGUGGGCUGGCAGGGGCUCACGG
Long non-coding RNA from Danio aesculapii, 365 nucleotides. RefSeq lists it as uncharacterized. The transcript is spliced from 3 exons. The record is from RefSeq and is a predicted model, not a curated record. Lineage: Eukaryota; Metazoa; Chordata; Actinopteri; Cypriniformes; Danionidae.